ACUAGAACAAUAGAGUAGAGGUCAUGUGUUUGACCCGCAGCUCCAGCUUCCUUUUUCUUUUCUUGUCAUUCUUCAUCAUUAAGCCAAAUGACCUCGUUUUAGUGAGUUCACUGAAAGUGUAAAGAUGAUGACAUAGCCGACAUGCAAGCAGGCUUCACCAAUCAUUCAUUGACACAUCGUCUUGAACGAUGACGUUGUCGCUGACGUGGGCACUUCGUUCCUCAAAUCUCUAGUCCAGCUCAACAGCGAGCUCCAAAUUCUCCGUUGAAAAUCUCCACCCUCCAUUCAAGUGAUCUACCUCUAUUUAAUCCUCAAUUUCCUAAUCGACUCACUAAUACCUCCCUGCAUCCAAAGAUCGAGUUUCGAUCUUCAAAAGAGAAAAGACAUCCAUCUCCCCGACUCUGUUUUUGAUGAACCACGACGGCAAGUCAUCUCUCGGUUAGAUUGAUUUUGAGGUAAGGGAUCGAUUAGUAGGGUAAGAAACUAUUUUCCUUCCUAAGAAACAUAUUAAAGCUUCAAUCGUUUCGAUCUAGGUUUCAUGUUCAUCUUCUCUGUCAAGCUGUGAUUUUGGAGACUGCAGACCAGAAGAUACCAGACCAUCCUUAGCAUCAAACGAAGGUUAGGAAGUGUUUCAAUUAAUUAGUUUCAAUUUCGGUAGAGUUUCCUUGUGUAUUAAGCCUUCACUAGAGCUGGGUUCACCCUUGCCAGAUUCUGGGUUCAUCUCUAGAAUUUGUGGGAGAAGAUAAUUGGAUAAUGUCUGUGACGACACUUAGAUUUGUCAUUAUUUGCGUUUCAGCCAUUGAACUUUCAGAAAUUAGAAUCAGUACCUCAUCUCUUAGCAAAUUGCCUGACGUAAAAAACUAUUAAUAUCUGCCAGUUUAGUAAUCAACUUUUUCCUUGUAGUUUCCGCAACUUGGAACUUUCUGGUAAUGACAGUUUGCACCCAAAAUGGUUGUAGAAGUUCUUUAAGUCCUAAAAUUAGCCCUAAUCGGUCCUAAGAUGCUAGUAAAUUAAUCCGAAGAUAGUAACAUGACCCCUAUAUCCAUAAAUUGUUAAGUAACAGUAAUUCCUUAAGAUUAGUAAUUAUAAAUAGGAUGUACUUAAGAUUAUAACCCUUAAUCCUAAUAAGUAAUUAAAAUAGAUAUUCUUCUUCAAUCUUUCUUCCUAUCUCGAAAAUUAGCACUAAUAGAACUCUUCAUGUACUUAGUUAAUCUCUUUAACUCAAAUCUUUUUAAUUCAUCCCUUCCGUCAAAUCACAUUAAUUGUGAAGAUAAUCCUUCGAUUUUCGUCGAGCCGUCCCCAUAAUAUUUCAACACGUGUUGGAGUUUAGUCUAAUGUCUAAAUCCUCGUCUUCGGGUCAUCAAAGACAAACCGAAUUUUCAGCUUAGAUUGCAAUCCCUUGUGUUGGAACCUCUCUGCCUCUUUAUAAGGUGAGUUCCUUUAAGGGGGUAAAUUUUUUUCCUUGCUAUAGUGAGGGUAUGCAUGUUUCAUGUUAUGUUUAAUUAUGCAAUUUAAUUCAUUUAUGUUCAUGUCAUUUACUUUAUUCUUAUGAUGCUCAUAUGUGCCUUAUGUUAAACUAGCUAGAAGAUGAUAUGAUUAGCUAGUUGGAAAACAAGAAAUAACUAUCCCAAGCCUAGACCAUUAGUAGACAAUCUAGUAGUGAAAUGAUAUAGUAGUACGUAACUCUCAAGCUAGACUCCCGAUCCAGAUAGUUGGCCUAUGACCUUGGGCCACUAGAGAUCCAAGACUUAGUUACUCGGACCACUAGAGUCCCGUUAUUAGUUAUUGGGCCACUAGAGUCCCAUUAUUAGCUAUUGGGCCACUAGAGUGCCGUUUUUAGCCAUUGGGCCAAUAGAGGCCUCUAUGAUAGUACUGGCCAUUAGAGACCCAUAAUGUUAUCUUAAGUCCGAAAAAAUGUGCGGUAAGGCUAGUUAGUGAAAAGAGGGGAUGUCAUACAAGAAUUAAGAACCCUUGAAUAAAAGUCAAGGCUAGUACAAGAAUAUAAGGUGCAUAGUUUGACAUUCCCGAUGAUACUAUUUUUUACAUGAUUAACAUGAUACAUUACUUCAUAAUGUACUAAACUAGCAAGAUGAUGAUUUGACCAUGAGAGACUAACCCCGAGCCAUCCACAAGUCAUAUUAGAGAUACCAGAACGGAGACGACUUGCAAGAGCUGCAGCUGCUGCCAAUAUCUUUGGAGUUUAGACUUGUGACUUUGUUAAUGAUUUUAUGUCGGACUUGAUUUCAUGAUUUGGUUUGCCCACAUGUUUAGGGCUAUUUAUUUUGAAAUAAUGUUUGAACAAUUUAUUUAUGUUGACUUUGACUUUUAUCCUUUUUAUCGAGUCCUUGUCCGCCUCGAUGCAAUUUGGUCAUUUAAUAAAUGUUAGAAGUUUAGAGUGUUUCAUGAAACACCGGUGCUUGACGUCAACAAGAUGCCGAUUGAAUUACCAAGGGUAGAUACCCUCGUAAAUGUAUGAGUGGUCCAGGCGAAUAGUCCCGUAAAGGGGGUUGUGGAGAUCCAUCGCCUCUGACGAUACGAACCCCUAUCUACCGUUCCGGUGUUAGCUCGUUGCCUUUGAUUUCUUUCUUUCCUUCGGGUGUGUCGUACUUGUCAAGUGUUUUGUUUAUUUCUUGAAUGUUGUCAUUUGGCAAUAGAGUUAGGUAUUUUCUUUACAAAUUAGUUAUUUUCUUUACAAGUGAGGUACGAUCAAAUUAUCUGAGUCCAUGAAAUCACUCAUCAAAUCCCCUACUAAAUCACCUAGUAUGUCAUACGGACUAUGUUAGAUUAGAGGGAAACCUUGACAACG
This 2806-nucleotide long non-coding RNA is filed under the name Linum usitatissimum (flax). RNAcentral describes it as "long non-coding RNA (LUSI_LNC007858)". Lineage: Eukaryota; Viridiplantae; Streptophyta; Magnoliopsida; Malpighiales; Linaceae. The record is from RNAcentral.